This 497-nucleotide ribosomal RNA is filed under the name uncultured bacterium. RNAcentral's name for it is "partial 16S ribosomal RNA". It matches the Rfam family "Bacterial small subunit ribosomal RNA", at positions 28 to 507 of the family's 1533-position model. The record is from RNAcentral.
GAUGAACGCUGGCGGCGUGCCUAAUACAUGCAAGUCGAGCGAACAGACGAGGAGCUUGCUCCUCUGACGUUAGCGGCGGACGGGUGAGUAACACGUGGAUAACCUACCUAUAAGACUGGGAUAACUUCGGGAAACCGGAGCUAAUACCGGAUAACAUGUUGAACCGCAUGGUUCAACAGUGAAAGUCGGUUUUGCUGUCACUUAUAGAUGGAUCCGCGCCGCAUUAGCUAGUUGGUAAGGUAACGGCUUACCAAGGCAACGAUGCGUAGCCGACCUGAGAGGGUGAUCGGCCACACUGGAACUGAGACACGGUCCAGACUCCUACGGGAGGCAGCAGUAGGGAAUCUUACGCAAUGGGCGAAAGCCUGACGGAGCAACGCCGCGUGAGUGAAGAAGGUCUUCGGAUCGUAAAACUCUGUUAUUAGGGAAGAACAAAUGUGUAAGUAACUAUGCACGUCUUGACGGUACCUAAUCAGAAAGCCACGGCUAACUACGUG